RNAcentral lists this transfer RNA (71 nucleotides) under Stegodyphus mimosarum. It matches the Rfam family "tRNA". Rfam says of the family: Transfer RNA (tRNA) molecules are approximately 80 nucleotides in length. Their secondary structure includes four short double-helical elements and three loops (D, anti-codon, and T loops). The record is from Rfam by way of RNAcentral. Lineage: Eukaryota; Metazoa; Arthropoda; Arachnida; Araneae; Eresidae.
GCCUUCGUGGUGUAGCGGUAGCACACUCGGCGCGGAUUCCAGAGGUCCAGGUUCGAGUCCCAGCGAGGGCA